GAUGAACGCUGGCGGCGUGCCUAACACAUGCAAGUCGAACGGAGAUUACGGACGGAAGUUUUCGGAUGGAAGCCUGUAAUUCUUAGUGGCGGACGGGUGAGUAACGCGUGGGCAACCUGCCCUAUACAGGGGGAUAGCAGCUGGAAACGGCUGGUAAGACCGCAUAAGUCGGUUAAAUCGCAUGAUUUGAUCGGGAAAUGAGCAAUCAGGUAUAGGAUGGGCCCGCGUCCGAUUAGCCAGUUGGCAGGGUAAAAGCCUACCAAAGCGACGAUCGGUAGCCGGACUGAGAGGUCGGACGGACACAUUGGGACUGAGACACGGCCCAAACUCCUACGGGAGGCAGCAGUGGGGGAUAUUGCAAAAUGGAGGAAACUCUGAUGCAGCGACGCCGCGUGAGUGAAGAAGUAUUUCGGUAUGUAAAGCUCUAUCAGCAGGGAAGAUGAUGACGGUACCUGACGAAGAAGCCCCGGCUAACUACGUG
RNAcentral lists this ribosomal RNA (481 nucleotides) under uncultured bacterium. RNAcentral describes it as "partial 16S ribosomal RNA". It matches the Rfam family "Bacterial small subunit ribosomal RNA", at positions 28 to 507 of the family's 1533-position model. The record is from RNAcentral.